GGUUAAGUGAAUAAGGGCGCACGGUGGAUGCCUUGGCACUAGGAGCCGAUGAAGGACGGGACUAACACCGAUAUGCUUUGGGGAGCUGUACGUAAGCUAUGAUCCAGAGAUUUCCGAAUGGGGGAACCCAACAUCUUUAAUAGGAUGUUACGAUUGUGUGAAUACAUAGCACAUUCGAGGUAGACGCAGAGAACUGAAACAUCUAAGUACCUGCAGGAAGAGAAAGAAAAUUCGAUUCCCUGAGUAGCGGCGAGCGAAACGGGAAAAGCCCAAACCAGCAAGCUUGCUUGUUGGGGUUGUAGGACUCCAAUAUGGUAGUUCUUUCAGAUAGUCGAAUGACUUGGAAAAGUCAGUCAAAGAGGGUAAAAACCCCGUAGACGAAAUGUGGAAGACACCUAGGAGGAUCCUGAGUACGGCGGAACACGAGAAAUUCCGUCGGAAUCCGGGAGGACCAUCUCCCAAGGCUAAAUACUCCCUAGUGACCGAUAGUGAACCAGUACCGUGAGGGAAAGGUGAAAAGCACCCCGGAAGGGGAGUGAAAUAGAACCUGAAACCGUGUGCCUACAACAAGUCAAAGCCCGUUAAUGGGUGAUGGCGUGCCUUUUGUAGAAUGAACCGGCGAGUUACGAUUGCAUGCGAGGUUAAGUUGAAGAGACGGAGCCGCAGCGAAAGCGAGUCUGAAUAGGGCGUUUGAGUAUGUAGUCGUAGACCCGAAACCAUGUGAUCUACCCAUGUCCAGGUUGAAGGUGCGGUAAAACGCACUGGAGGACCGAACCCACGUACGUUGAAAAGUGCGGGGAUGAGGUGUGGGUAGCGGAGAAAUUCCAAACGAACUUGGAGAUAGCUGGUUCUCUCCGAAAUAGCUUUAGGGCUAGCCUCGGAAUUGAGAAUGAUGGAGGUAGAGCACUGUUUGGACUAGGGGCCCAUCUCGGGUUACCGAAUUCAGAUAAACUCCGAAUGCCAUUCAUUCAUAUCCGGGAGUCAGACUGUGAGUGAUAAGAUCCAUAGUCGAAAGGGAAACAGCCCAGACCACCAGCUAAGGUCCCAAAAUAUAUGUUAAGUGGAAAAGGAUGUGGGGUUGCACAGACAACUAGGAUGUUGGCUUAGAAGCAGCCACCAUUUAAAGAGUGCGUAAUAGCUCACUAGUCGAGUGACCCUGCGCCGAAAAUGUACCGGGGCUAAACAUAUUACCGAAGCUGUGGAGUACACCUUUAGGUGUAUUGGUAGGAGAGCGUUCUAAGGGCGUUGAAGGCAGAUCGUGAGGACUGCUGGAGCGCUUAGAAGUGAGAAUGCCGGUAUGAGUAGCGAAAGACAGGUGAGAAUCCUGUCCACCGAAUGACUAAGGUUUCCUGGGGAAGGCUCGUCCGCCCAGGGUUAGUCGGG
Molecule: ribosomal RNA, 1383 nt
Filed under: Enterococcus faecium
Lineage: Bacteria; Bacillati; Bacillota; Bacilli; Lactobacillales; Enterococcaceae
Description: partial 23S ribosomal RNA
Rfam family: Bacterial large subunit ribosomal RNA
Source: RNAcentral